UUGCUGCCUUGAAGUCUCCAUAGCUAAGGAAGAAAAGGAAGAAGAAAUAAAAUAGUGACUAAAUGGAAUAUCAUCAACCUCCUUUUGUUAAAAUAAGUAUGAUGACUUGAAUUCUUUUAGACGAAAUAUAUGAAUUAAGUAUAGCAACUUUAAAAUCAAAGAAAGAAGUUAACAAAUAAAGCCACACGAAUAGAGAGCCAUCUCAAACUUCUAUAAAUGAAAAAGGACAAAGGAAAAGGUUAGGACUUUGGAUUUAGGAAGAGGUCACAUGAAUAUCCAAUGUUUUCUGUGUCUCUAGUAUAAUAAUAAAAUUUCAUUUAGGACUAGUGGGCAUGAACCCAUCUUGAAUCCAGUACAUAUAUGUUCCGUUUUGUCAUCAAGCAUUAAAAUGUUAGGAAUUGCUUGUUUAUGGAAAUGCAUGAGAAAGAGGAAUCAAGACUCAAAAUACCGUUGGUGAGAAGUUGCAUGCAAA
This 472-nucleotide unclassified non-coding RNA is filed under the name Hevea brasiliensis (rubber tree). Lineage: Eukaryota; Viridiplantae; Streptophyta; Magnoliopsida; Malpighiales; Euphorbiaceae. The record is from RNAcentral.